This 582-nucleotide long non-coding RNA is filed under the name Nicotiana benthamiana. RNAcentral's name for it is "long non-coding RNA (NBEN_LNC028252)". Lineage: Eukaryota; Viridiplantae; Streptophyta; Magnoliopsida; Solanales; Solanaceae. The record is from RNAcentral.
GGAAUUCCAAAAUAUGAGUGGUGGUCUGAGGCUUUACAUGGGAUUUCAUACACUGGUCCUGGAGUUAAAUUUAACGGUGUAGUUCCUGGUGCCACUAGCUUCCCUCAACCUAUUCUCACUUCUGCUUCUUUCAAUGAGACUUUGUUUGAAACCAUUGGAAAGGUAAUAUCUUUUGCUUAUUCUUUCACCUUUUUUCAUCAUUAUUUCUUGUUAUUAUUAGAUUGCUAUCUUAGUGUUUAUCUUUUACCCUCAACCUAUUCUUACUUCUGCUUCUUUUAAUGAGACUUUGUUUGAAACCAUUGGAAAGGUAAUAUCUUUUGCUUAUUCUUUCACCUUUUUUCAUCAUUAUUUCUUGUUAUUAUUAGAUUGCUAUCUUAGUGUUUAUCUUUUAAAUUAGUUCCUAAUUUUUCAGCAUACUAGUUUCAGUGAUUAUGCGCGGUCAUUUUUAAUUAUUUUUUAGUUGAUCCGAUAGUGUAAAACUUUUUUUCUUCUUGAAGAUUGAAUUAUUAGCCAUUUCGUAAAUAAUGCUUGAUUGGUGAUUUGUUGUUCAUUGGAAAACAAAUAACCUAUUAACUUCUAACA